GACGAACGCUGGCGGCGUGCUUAACACAUGCAAGUCGAACGGAAAGGCCCUGCUUUUGUGGGGUGCUCGAGUGGCGAACGGGUGAGUAACACGUGAGUAACCUGCCCUUGACUUUGGGAUAACUUCAGGAAACUGGGGCUAAUACCGGAUAGGAGCUCCUGCUGCAUGGUGGGGGUUGGAAAGUUUCGGCGGUUGGGGAUGGACUCGCGGCUUAUCAGCUUGUUGGUGGGGUAGUGGCUUACCAAGGCUUUGACGGGUAGCCGGCCUGAGAGGGUGACCGGCCACAUUGGGACGGGGAUACGGCCCGGACUCCUACGGGGGGCAGCGGUGGGGAAUAUUGCACAAGGGGCGGAGGCCGGAUGCAGCAACGCCGCGUGCGGAAGGACGGCCUUCGGGUUGUAAACGGCUUUCGCCUGUGACGAGGCGUAGGUAACGGAAAUGGUGAAAGAGGCACCGGCUAACUACGU
RNAcentral lists this ribosomal RNA (467 nucleotides) under uncultured bacterium. Its description in RNAcentral is "partial 16S ribosomal RNA". It matches the Rfam family "Bacterial small subunit ribosomal RNA", at positions 28 to 506 of the family's 1533-position model. The record is from RNAcentral.